This 490-nucleotide ribosomal RNA is filed under the name uncultured bacterium. RNAcentral describes it as "partial 16S ribosomal RNA". It matches the Rfam family "Bacterial small subunit ribosomal RNA", at positions 30 to 507 of the family's 1533-position model. The record is from RNAcentral.
AUUGAACGCUGGCGGCAGGCCUAACACAUGCGAGUCGAACGGUAACAGGAAGCAGCUUGCUGCUUUGCUGACGAGUGGCGGACGGGUGAGUAAUGUCUGGGAAACUGCCCGAUGGAGGGGGAUAACUACUGGAAACGGUAGCUAAUACCGCAUAACGUCGCAAGACCAAAGAGGGGGACCUUAGGGCCUCUCGCCAUCGGAUGUGCCCAGAUGGGAUUAGCUAGUAGGUGGGGUAACGGCUCACCUAGGCGACGAUCCCUAGCUGGUCUGAGAGGAUGACCAGCCACACUGGAACUGAGACACGGUCCAGACUCCUACGGGAGGCAGCAGUGGGGAAUAUUGCACAAUGGGCGCAAGCCUGAUGCAGCCAUGCCGCGUGUAUGAAGAAGGCCUUCGGGUUGUAAAGUACUUUCAGCGGGGAGGAAGGGAGUAAAGUUAAUACCUUUGCUCAUUGACGUUACCCGCAGAAGAAGCACCGGCUAACUCCGUG